UCGGAGCAAGAGUACUUUCAUUGCUUCACGGUACUUUUUUUUACCUAAAAUAUAAGUUUACAUGUUAAAAUAAUUGUAAAAAUUAUCAAAAAUUGUUUUUAAAUCGCGCAUCGCCAUGAACUUCAUCAAUUAGUUCGGAUUUGCGAUGAAAAUUAAAGGAAAAAGUGCUAAAACUAGAUGAAUCGGGGUGAUUUCAUCCAAUUUUUUGUUCCGUGGCUUUCCAGUUUUCUAUAUUAAUACAACUACAUGCACACACAUAUGAACAUAGUGUCCACAAAUAAAAUUAAUAAUAUAAAAAAAAUUAUUACUUUAGUAAUAAAUUCACAUAUUGUAAUAAGUGCAUGCGAGUGAUUCGCUUCUAUUUACGUAAAAAUUAUAGAAAUUAAUCGAUUGAUUGGACCAGUGAGAGAAAAAAAUCGAAUGUAAAUAAAAAAGUGAAAUAAAGGAAAGCACAUCAACACACACCAUCACACAAAAGCAGAAUGGAUACCAUUGGAAAACAAGGAGUGAGUGCGAUUGUCGAACACGAUUACAGUGCACGUGAAGACGAUGAAUUAACGCUUGUCAAAGGUGCCAUCAUCACAAACAUAAAAAUCAAGCCAGGCGGCUGGUGGGAAGGUUCCAUCGCAUCCACAGGAAAAACAGGAAUGUUUCCAGAUAAUUUUGUCAGAGUUUUAGAGCCGGACGACAAGAAUCCAGUUGUACUGAGAGACAAAUCCGCGACAAUCGUGCGACGAUGUAAAGUUGUCUACAGUUAUCAGGAGAACAAUAACGACGAAUUAUCCUUGGGUGUCGGUGAUAUCAUUGAAGUAUUAGGAGAGGUUGAAGAAGGCUGGUGGCGCGGAAAACUUGGAAACAAAAUCGGCGUCUUUCCCUCGAAUUUCGUCGAAGUCAUCGAAAAAGUCUCUCCCGUAUCGGCAAAUCGCAAAAGUAUUAACAACACAACGAAUUCUGGCACAAACAGUCUGCUACGCGGCAGUAAAUCCAGUUUAAAUAGCUCACGAGAGGAUCUCUUGUCAAAUGCAUCACACGACUCUUAUGAAGCUCCAUCAUUGCCUCCCAAGCCAAUUCGCGAAUUGUGCAAAGUAUUAUUUGCAUACCAGCCAGCAAAUGAGGACGAAUUGAAAUUAGUGGAAGGCGACGUCAUCACAGUCAUUAACAAAGAAUUGCCAGAUAAAGGUUGGUGGAAAGGCGAAUUACGGGGACGGAUAGGCGUUUUUCCAGACAAUUUUGUGCAACUGCUUCCGCCAGAAGUGUCAUCGCCAUUAAAAGACACUUCAUCGAAGCCGGAUCGUCCGCCGCUCACGGGAAAAGCCUUAGGAAACAAGCAAAACAGCGCGUACGGCUCCAAAGACUCGCUCACCGACAAGCCUGUCUUCGGCAACGUGGCUGCUCACCGAAAAUCCUUGGAGCAUAAAGUACAAGAUACCUCCGCUGCGGAAAAACCUCCACGCAAAAGCCUGGAAUCCAAAACUGACGUUCGUAAAAGUUUGGAAAAUGUCGACGAUAAAAAGGGAACACCGCCAGCUGUCAGCAAAAAACCCGUCGUUCCGAUCAAAAAAUCACCCUCGAUCACGAGUGUCACGAACAAUUUAUUCUCUGGCCUCAAGCAAAAAGUGAAAGGAGUGGAAAAUAAAUUGACUCACGACUCAGCAGAUGGCGGUGUCGGCAGCAAAUCCAGCUACCAACUCACAGAUGGCAGUGAAAAAGGCGUAACUGGCGAGAAAAUUACGCGAAACGACACCGAAUUCGAUCAAGUUGAACGAAGCACGAUUUUGUCUGACAUGCGUGCGAAUCGGGCAAAAGCUCCGCGUCGUCGUCCGCCAUCGUCGGGCGUCGGAUCUCUCGGCGAUUCCACGGGAUCCAUGAAUGGCAGCACCGAAAAUCCGCCAGAUUCGCCGCGUCACGACUCGCUAACGACCCCUGGCGGCGCCGAAGAGACUGAAGUUUUGGUGAAACCCCGCGCACGCGAAUGGGAAAAGCACCGAGCGCCCUGGAUGGAGGAGCUGAAAGCUAGUCAAGCAAAGAAAACAUCACCGGGCCACUUGCCCGAAGCGCGAUCUCCGGACCCCACGACCAACAAUGUCGAGGGCACGUCAUUCGACAUGUCAAAAUCGUACAGUAGCUCGUUCGUGAGUGGCACAAAAAAGGCGGAAACAGCGACAACGACGACUUCGGUGGCCGAAUUGCGAGCCCAUAGCAUCGAAAAGUCCUCGGAAAUGGCGAAAAGUAUGUCGUCGAUUGGUGCUCGCAUCUCCAUCAACAACAACAACAACGACACGAAUCACAUUGCCACCAGUAGCUCGAACGACAAGCUGCUCGACGUACACGAAAAAAGUGCCUCUGUACUUAUCAGCCGGAGUAUUUCGCCGCUCGGCAGAAAAUCACUGCAACCAUCACCGCAACAUCGCACGACAACGACUACGACAACCAGCAAUUCCGAUGACCGGAUCACCGAAUUGGAGGAACGUUUGACGCGCCUCGAACAAACUGUCUACAAUCAAAACAAUACCAUCGACGAACUAACCAAGUUGCUCAACGAGGAAUCGACCAAGGUGAAAAUUCUGAAAAUGCAGUUAGAGAAAUAUGCACAAUGUGUCACACAGUCCCAGGAUUCAUUAAAAAUUGUAAAAAUCAAGUAAAAAUUAUUUCCAAUUAACAAAAAAAGGCGCAGCAAUCGUCGCAGCAACACGGAGGGCUUCGUGUGAUAUGGCAUCAAGUAAUCGUGCUAGAUUACCACUGAUACCAUCUAUUACAACAACAAAAACGACAACUUCAGGUAAUAAUCUGCGGCAUGUAGAGCAACAGCAGCAACAACAACAGCAAUUACAUUCACAAUCGCAUCCAACAAUCAAUUAUCCGCCAACGGUCGAGCAACGCAUCAUUCAGCAAAAGCAAGAUCAUAACUUUAAUGUUCUAAAUACGUUCAGUGAUAAGGAGAGACAAAUUGUUAUUGAUGCAUUAAGUCGUGAUGAGGGUGCACGUCAACGUGAAGCAGCGAGAUUAAUGUUGCUUCGCUUCGAGCUACACAGACUCAGUUUGAGACGCAAACGCAGUAUUAUCUUGCGCCACUCACACGACAAACAACCAGCCAC
Molecule: RNA transcript, 3095 nt
Organism: Culicoides brevitarsis
Lineage: Eukaryota; Metazoa; Arthropoda; Insecta; Diptera; Ceratopogonidae
Gene: cindr
Gene name: SH3 domain-containing kinase-binding protein 1
Exons: 9
Source: RefSeq, a predicted model, not a curated record